UUUUGACCCCUAGCCAUGAGCUGCCAACCAUGAUGCCUGGAGAAAUCCGGUGCAGAGAAGAACUAUAUUUACACAGUAUGAGCGUGCACGCAAUGAUGAAUCAACACAAACCCCACCCAACCUGCAUUGUGCUUGGUGUCUUUUCGCAUAUUCCUUUGCCAGAGCGUUUAUGUCUCAUGUUUGUUAGCAAGUAACGCAGGACAGCGAGUGGAUCUUCUGGCCUGAAUGGUUCGUGCUGAGGAUCCAAUGGAUGUCCUAUGUCCAGCUGGUGUCCCUCAGUAUAAAUAACUGGGCUCCAAGUUUCAUUCAGCCACUUCAUUGAGCUAGCCUAUAGCUGUGUUUAGUGAGCAGGGGGCUUCAGUCGCAUCUCCUUGUAUGGCUGUCGUGUGCACUCUUAAUGCUGCUUUACCACCAGAACAUGGGGUAACUUGGCAGACUGUAUGGAUCCCCUGCCUUUCUGUUACCAUGAUUACAACUAUUAAUGAAGCGUUUGAAAUUGAACCUGCCUCAUCUUAACUCUGCUCUUACAAAUUUUAAGUAUACUUCAAAGUUUAAUAAUGAACUUCUGUAGCCCUAAUAAGCUGGGCUGUGUCAUAUUUACAAAUGUCUAAAUCACUCAUACUGAGUAGUCCAGAUCUUCCCAUUCAAGUGGACGUUCUCAAAGUUGUGUGUGGUUGCACCUAUAUGCAUCAGUACAGUCAUACAUACUUCUUGGUUUGUUCUCACAAUACUGAGGAACAGAAUGAACUCUGAGCCAUGGAGCUGUUUUUCCAGUGCAAACAGAGUGGAAACACAGAUGAAAUCAUCUCUCACCUCUGGGUCGCCAGUGUGAUUCCUUCAGAAAACAGAGAGUUUUCAGUCAGACACUAGGAGCUUAAGAAACCCCAUGAUCUCAGCACAGCUGCUAAUGGAAAGCAAACCUAGCACUAACUCAUGUCACUUUUGGCAGCCACAGCAGAAAGGCCAAACUCUCACAUCAGCAUGGGGGCUGCAUGGCCCUCUUAGCCCAGAGGUGGCUGCACAGUGAGCAGUGCGUUAUCCUGGCAGGGUGGAGAUUGGAAAAACUUGUAAGGCAACCUUUUGGAUCAUCCCUGUCCCUGGCUUAUAAAGACGUCACUUCACAUCUCAGUUUGUAGGCUCCCAUUUAUAGGAAAGAAUAAUAAAUAUAGGAAAAAGUGGCCAAAAGAGCCACCUGCAACUUUGAUUGCACAUAUUAGAACAAAUCUAUUUCUGAAACAAGAGCCUGAACCUUCUGGAGAUAGAUCUGAAACUUAUUUGUUCUAUUCACUCUAUGUUCAGGGAGAAUUACUAGUGACUUAAGAAGGAACUGUGUCUCAGAAAGGGCUAAGGUCUUACAGGUCUUCAAAAUGUGGACCCUUCCACAGCUAAGUUUGCUUUCCGAUUU
Long non-coding RNA from Gallus gallus (chicken), 1405 nucleotides. Lineage: Eukaryota; Metazoa; Chordata; Aves; Galliformes; Phasianidae. The record is from Ensembl.